CAGUAGCCGCGGUAAUACGAAGGGGGCUAGCGUUGCUCGGAAUUACUGGGCGUAAAGGGCGCGUAGGCGGACAGUUCAGUCGGGGGUGAAAGCCCGGGGCUCAACCUCGGAAUUGCCUUCGAUACUGGCUGUCUUGAGUAUGAGAGAGGUGUGUGGAACUCCGAGUGUAGAGGUGAAAUUCGUAGAUAUUCGGAAGAACACCAGUGGCGAAGGCGACACACUGGCUCAUUACUGACGCUGAGGCGCGAAAGCGUGGGGAGCAAACAGGAUUAGAUACCCGGGUAGUCCCUGUCUCUUAUAC
This 301-nucleotide ribosomal RNA is filed under the name uncultured bacterium. RNAcentral describes it as "partial 16S ribosomal RNA". It matches the Rfam family "Bacterial small subunit ribosomal RNA", at positions 509 to 807 of the family's 1533-position model. The record is from RNAcentral.